This is a long non-coding RNA of Empidonax traillii (willow flycatcher), 429 nucleotides long. RefSeq lists it as uncharacterized. Lineage: Eukaryota; Metazoa; Chordata; Aves; Passeriformes; Tyrannidae. The record is from RefSeq and is a predicted model, not a curated record. The transcript has 4 exons.
UUGUUGGGGGUCCUGGUAGAAGUUUGGCAGCCUGUCAGAGACACCUUCACCCUUGUGGAAGAAUGGGUACAUUCAACAGAACUGCCAAGAAUUAUGAAAAUUAGAAGUAAUCAAAUGCCCCUCAAGAUUUUUUCCUCUGCAGGAACAGAGGAAACAACUGCAGAAGUGGUAGCUCUAUAAACAAACAAACACUCCAGAGAGUUGCUCGUGUCGGAGGUUGGACUUCAAAUAUACAAAUUGAAACCUUCAGAGCCAAUUUAAUAUGCAUAAUGUGGUCUGAUGAAAAAUGGUAUAGCUAUCCUGGGGUGACCAGCACUACUUAGCAUUCAUUUGGAUUUCAAGCUCAAUGGAAGAAUGGUGCAAAAUUUGGAUACACAACAUUUAUCAACACAAUGAACAAAGUAAUGAACACAUCUGUCAAGGUGCCAU